GUGCCGUGAGGUGUUGGGUUAAGUCCCGCAACGAGCGCAACCCUUGUCCUUAGUUGCCCCCGGGUAACGCCGUGGCACUCUAAGGAAACUGCCCGUGUUAAGCGGGAGGAAGGUGGGGACGACGUCAAGUCAUCAUGGCCUUUAUACCCAGGGCCACACACGUGCUACAAUGGGUGGUACAAAGUGUUGCGAAUGCGCAAGCUGGAGCUAAUCGCAAAAAACCAUCCUCAGUUCGGAUCGAAGUCUGCAACUCGACUUCGUGAAGCUGGAAUCGCUAGUAAUCGCGGAUCAGCAUGCCGCGGUGAAUACGUUCCCGGGCCU
RNAcentral lists this ribosomal RNA (321 nucleotides) under uncultured bacterium. RNAcentral's name for it is "bacterial SSU rRNA". It matches the Rfam family "Bacterial small subunit ribosomal RNA", at positions 1062 to 1381 of the family's 1533-position model. The record is from RNAcentral.